GGGGGAUAACAGUUGGAAACGUCUGCUAAUGCCGCAUAACGUUGUAAAAGGGCAUCCAUUUGCAAGCAAAAGUGAAAUGUUAUGAGAGAUGGGCUCGUGGCCGAUUAGAUAGUAGGCGGGGUAGCGGCCCACAUAGUCAGAUAUGUGUAGCCGGUGUGAGAGGUUGAGCGCCCACAUUGGGUGUGAGACGCGGCCCAGUCUCCUGCGGGAGGCCGCAGUGGGGUAUAUUGCACAAUGGGAGAAAGCGUGAUGCAGAGACGGCGUGUGAGGGAAGAUGGUUUUGUGAUUGUAAACCUCUGUGUUUGGGGAAGGAUAGCGGUGGUACCCAAAGAGGAAGCUCCGGCUUACUUCGUGCCAGCAGCGGUGGUAAUUAGUAGGGAGCGAUUGUUGUCCUGAAUUGGUGGGUGUAAAGGGAGAGUAGGCGGGGUUGUCAGUUGAAUGUAUAAUCCGCCGGCUCACCCGGUGUUGGUUUUCAAAAUUUCAGGUCUGGAGUCAAGUGGAGCCAGGGGGAUUUCUUAGUGUAGCGGUGAAAUGUCUGGAUGUUACGCGGGACACCAGUGGGGCAGGCGGCCUGUAGGGCUUUAUGUGACUCUGAGGCUUGAAAGAGUGGCGAGCAUACAUGAUUAGAUACUCCGGUAGUGCACGCGGUAAAUCGAUGAUUUCUGAGGUGUGGGGAGAUCUAAACUUUCCGUGCCGGAGUAAUCACAAUUAGUAAUCCAGCCUGGGGAGUGCGGCCGCAAGGUGAAACUCAUAGGAAUUACGGGGGCCCGCACAAACCGUGGAGUAUGUGGUUUAAUUAGAAGCAACGCGUAGACCCUUCUCAGGUUUCGCCAUCUCGUGAAUAGCCUUGAGAUAGGUGUAGCCCCUGGGGGCACGAAGGCAGCUGGUGCAUGGUCGUCGUCAGUUGGUGUAGUGAGAGGUUAGUUUAAGUCCGGCAGCGAGCGCAGUCCUUAUUAUUAGUUGCUACGCAAGAGCCCUUUAAUGAGACUGCCGGGGGCUAACCGGAGGAAGGGGGGGAAGACGUCAAAUUAUCCUGCCCCUUAUGGCUUGGGGUACCCCCGUAGUUCAAUGGCAGUAAACCAGAGGGAAGGGACCCCGGGAGGGGAAGCAAUUCCCGAAAAAGUGUCUCAGUUCGGAUCGCAGUCUGCAACCCGCCUGCGUGAAGUCGGAAUUGCUAGUAAUCGCAGAUCAGCAUGUUGCGGUGAAGACGUUCCCGGGCCUUGCACUCACCGCCCGUCAA
Molecule: ribosomal RNA, 1240 nt
Filed under: uncultured bacterium
Lineage: Bacteria
Description: partial 16S ribosomal RNA
Rfam family: Bacterial small subunit ribosomal RNA
Source: RNAcentral